GUUGGCGAGAGUGUAGGUAUUCCUUUCUCUUGGUUUCACAUCAAACCCUCAGAAAAAGGAUGUCAUCACUCCCCCUCUGCUGCUUCUGAUAGCAGCAGUACCAACGCCAGGUCCUGCCUGGUCGGCAAGAAACCCAAUCAAGCUUCCUGCACUCUUUCUUUCUCCCCUUCUUAAAAGCUGGCUCUGAUCAGACUUGUGGGAUAGGGUCUGCGGUUUUGUUGCAGUAGUGGGUAUGGAAGAGGAUGUGGUGCUCUGGGCCAAGUAGGGUCCAGCAGCUGGUGCUUAUCAGCUGCACCCUGUGAUACACACAGAUGUGUCCACACUGACCUUCCUGGCUGAGGACGUGUGGGAACUCAGAGCUUCCCAUGGGAAUGGAUGACAGAACAAGGAAGCGAGAAGGUUGAUGUAGGUGUGAUGGCAUCCUGCCAACUGUCCCUGAGUACAGAGCCCCAGCACCUCUGCUAAUCAGCAAGGGAGAUUUGCCUUUGAAACCUGGAAUCACGUGGGCAGCACAAAUGUAUAAUGUAAGUGGCCACCGUUUGCUCAGGGAUGCUCUAGGUCCUCCCUGGAGGACACCAUUUUCAUGUUCAGGGUACUACCCAGACCCCAAGCCCACCUUUUAUGUUUGGAUAGUCAACUAGUUUUUUCUCUUACCUUUUCCAUCCCCUGUCCACUUCCUUUCCCACUCCAAGAGGAAAGGGUGAAAAUUCGUGGGCGUUCAAUAAAUAUUAGUUGAAGAAAUAAAUAAAAGAAUAAACAGACGAAUGAACUUUUCACAUUUUUUGAAAAAAAAAUUGAGCUUGGUUUUCAUCUGCUUUGAUGGAUAAAUAGCUUCAGUUCUGGGAAACUACAUGGGCUGACCAUAUAAAAACCAUCACUUCACUUUUGUUUAUAUCUCUCCUGCAUCUCCACCUUCCACCAGCAAGGAAUCCUCUAUGUAUUUGUACUCAAUUUUUUAUUCUCCCUCAUAUGAGCUACAGGAAAAGCCUGGCUUUGCUCUCAAUGGUUUCCUACCAGCAGUGCCCCUAAAGGAUAAAGAAGCUUUCCUCCCAAUUAUCCUAGUACUUUCAUCCCGAAAAGAGAUCUAUUUCUAUCCCCUUAUUCCAGAGCAGAAUUAGAACUGAGAGCUGGCUUAGCUACUUUAUUUUCUAGAAGAGGCAACUGAACUCCAGGGAGGGGACAAGAUCCAUCCAGAGCCACACAACUAGUGAGAGGCGACUCUGAGUUUCCUGAGUUUGGAUCCAGUUCUUUCUCCUUUCAUACCACGGUGUAGCCCAUUGAUCAACUUGCCAUCACCCUCGACUCCGAGGCAAUGGUGCAGCCACUUUCCUGUGACUAGAAGCAGCCUAAAGGGCCCCUAAGAGUUCAGUCUGGCAGCCCUGCCUCUAACGGGGGCCUGGGGGAGGAUGGACCACAUUGGAUUCCAGUGUCCAGUUCCACACCAGCCCCAAAGUUACUGACCUGAUUUUCCAGAAUCCCAUUUUUUCUGUCUGCCUUACCCAGCCCAAGCGGCAAUGGAGAGGAUUUUGCUCAAACUUUCCAAAAUAACUUCCCUUUGGGCUGAGACCAAGCAAAUGUAGCUUCACGCCAAAGGAAUAUUGGGAAGGUUAUGAGCCACUAAAAAUAGAUGGUUACAACAGAAACUCCCUCCUGUUUCUGCCAUUAUCCCUGUUGGCUACACAAAUACAGAGGCAGACUCCAACCACGAAGGGGAGAGAAAAGCGGUAUGUGAUCCAAGCUGCGGUGUAAUCAGAUGGGAAACAAGUUGAAGAAAGAACAGUGCCAUUUUAGGAACAGGUCUGGCCCAAAUAUCACACCUAGACAGUAGGAGACCCACUGGUGCAUCCUCUGGCCCUGACCUCCUCCUCCCACAGCCAAAGAAGGGCAGAGGCAGGAGUAAUGUGGGACUAACCCACAGCGGGAGUUGCGAACCCACCGUAGGCCUUUGCUCCUUUGCAGGCGCUCAUCUCUUGAGAAAUGGAAGCCAGGUUUGAUCAUGGUGUAGGUUCAAGAACAUUCCAGAACAACUCCAGCAGGGCAAAUGGCUUCUUUGAAGUAUGUUUUUUGGGCUGGUUAUACAAACUAUCCCUUGCUUUCUGCCUAGACUAGGACUGUACCUGGCUGCUUUAAAGAUUCUGUUGCACUUUAUUGACUUUAUAGAGCCUGGAAGAUAACCAAGUAUGGUCUUUAGGGCCCAACGUACCUCGUUUCCUGCCAGCGACAUACUCGGGAUCCUUGACAUACACUCUGCUGAGGUCAGAGCUGUACGUCAGAGGCUUGGGUUA
Long non-coding RNA from Equus caballus (horse), 2285 nucleotides. Lineage: Eukaryota; Metazoa; Chordata; Mammalia; Perissodactyla; Equidae. The record is from Ensembl.